This 158-nucleotide ribosomal RNA is filed under the name Lactarius salmonicolor. Its description in RNAcentral is "5.8S ribosomal RNA". It matches the Rfam family "5.8S ribosomal RNA". Rfam says of the family: 5.8S ribosomal RNA (5.8S rRNA) is a component of the large subunit of the eukaryotic ribosome. Lineage: Eukaryota; Fungi; Basidiomycota; Agaricomycetes; Russulales; Russulaceae. The record is from RNAcentral.
CAACUUUCAACAACGGAUCUCUUGGCUCUCGCAUCGAUGAAGAACGCAGCGAAAUGCGAUACCUAAUGUGAAUUGCAGAAUUCAGUGAAUCAUCGAAUCUUUGAACGCACCUUGCGCCCCUUGGUAUUCCGAGGGGCACACCCGUUUGAGUGUCGUGA